GCUGGGUGCAGUGGCACGUGCCUGUAGUCCCAGCUACUCGGGAGGUUGAGGUGGGAGGAUUGCUUGAGCCCAGGAGUUCUGAGCUGUAGUGCGCUAUGCUGAUCAGGUGUCCGCACUAAGUUCAGCAUCAAUAUGGUGACCUCCUGAGAGCGGUGGGCCACCAGGUUACCUAAGGAGGGGUGAACCGGCCCAGGUUGGAAACAGAGCAGGUCAAAACUCCCGUGCUGAUCAGUAGUGGGAUCGCACCUGUGAAUAGCAACUGAACUCCAGCCUGGGCAACAUAGCGAGACCCUGUCUCU
Molecule: signal recognition particle RNA, 299 nt
Filed under: Aotus nancymaae (Ma's night monkey)
Lineage: Eukaryota; Metazoa; Chordata; Mammalia; Primates; Aotidae
Description: Metazoan signal recognition particle RNA (ENSANAG00000014669.1)
Rfam family: Metazoan signal recognition particle RNA
About the family: The signal recognition particle (SRP) is a universally conserved ribonucleoprotein. It is involved in the co-translational targeting of proteins to membranes.
Source: RNAcentral